This 2806-nucleotide ribosomal RNA is filed under the name human gut metagenome. Its description in RNAcentral is "bacterial LSU rRNA". It matches the Rfam family "Bacterial large subunit ribosomal RNA". The record is from RNAcentral.
AGGGCGUACGGCGAAUGCCUUGCCACUCGAAACUGAAGAAGGACGCGCCAAACUGCGAAAAGCUCCGUGAAGCUGUAAGGAAGCGAAGAAGCGGAGGUGUCCGAAUGGGGGAACCCGGCAGCAGACAUGAGCUGUCAUCUGCAGGUGAAUACAUGGCCUGCAAGAGAGGUACCCGGCGAACUGAAACAUCUAAGUAGCCGGAGGAAAAGAAAACAACAGUGAUUCCCUGAGUAGCGGCGAGCGAAAGGGGAGAAGCCCAAACCGGUUGAAGGACCGGGGUUGAAGGACCAUGACAUGGCAAGAACGAGGAUAGGAGAACGGGAUCGAAAGCCCGGCCGAAGAAGGUGAAAGCCCUGUAACCGAAAUCCGAGUAAAGCCUAAUGGGAUCCUGAGUACGGCGAGACACGAGGAAUCUUGUCGGAAGCAGGCGGGACCAUCCGCCAAGGCUAAAUAUAAACGAGUGAGCGAUAGUGAACCAGUACCGUGAGGGAAAGGUGAAAAGAACCGCGGGAGCGGAGUGAAAGAGAACCUGAAACCGUAUGCCUACAAGAAGUCAGAGCCCGUUAAGGGGUGAUGGCGUGCCUUUUGUAGAAUGAACCGGCGAGUUGCGACAGACUGCGAGGUUAAGGAGGAAAGACCGGAGCCGAAGCGAAAGCGAGUCUUAAGAGGGCGAAAGUAGGAUGUUGCAGACCCGAAACCGGGUGAUCUAGCCAUGAGCAGGUUGAAGUUGAGGUGAAACUCAAUGGAGGACCGAACCGACUACCGUUGAAAAGUUAGCGGAUGACUUGUGGCUAGGGGAGAAAUUCCAAUCGAACCCGGAGAUAGCUGGUUCUCCCCGAAAUAGCUUUAGGGCUAGCGUCGGAAAGAACCUUAGUGAAGGUAGAGCACUGAAUGUGUGAUGGCCCCAUCCCGGGGUACUGAAUACAAUCAAACUGCGAAUGUCAUUAAGGAUGUCCGGCAGUCAGACUGUGAGUGAUAAGGUCCAUGGUCAAGAGGGAAACAGCCCAGACCGCCAGUUAAGGUCCCAAAAUACAGGCUAAGUGGAAAAGGAUGUGGGGAUGCCCAGACAACUAGGAGGUUGGCUCAGAAGCAGCCAUCCUUUAAAGAGUGCGUAACAGCUCACUAGUCGAGUGACCCUGCGCCGAAAAUGUACCGGGGCUAAGCCUGAUACCGAAACUGCGGAUUGUAGGAAACUAUAGUGGUAGGGGAGCGUUGUAUACGAGCAGAAGCCGUACCGUGAGGAGCGGUGGAUUGUAUAGAAGUGAGAAUGCCGGUGUGAGUAGCGAGAUGUAGGUGAGAAUCCUACACACCGAAAGCCCAAGGAUUCCAGGGGAAGGUUCGUCCGCCCUGGGUAAGUCGGGACCUAACGCGAGGCCGAAAGGCGUAGUGGAUGGAAAGCAGGCGAAAGAUUCCUGCACCCGUAUAUGGAGCGAAGGAGUGACGGAGACGGAUAGUGUGACCCUCUUAAUGGAUUGAGGGCGAAGCGAAGCGGCUGGUUACCAGGCAAAUCCGGUAACCAAAAGGCUAGAGCGUGACAGGUAAGCGAAAUCUUAGGAAAGUAGCGAAGCACAUGAUGACGGCUUCCAGGAAAAGCUUCUGGCAAUGCAUAUGCGGCCCGUACCAAAACCGACACAGGUGGGCAGGGAGAGAAUCCCGAGGUGAGCGAGAGAACUGUUGCCAAGGAACUCGGCAAAAUGACUCCGUAAGUUAGCGAGAAGGAGUGCUUAAGCAAUUAAGCCGCAGUGAAGAGGCCCAAGCGACUGUUUAACUAAAACACAGCUCUCUGCGAAGUCGCAAGACGAAGUAUAGGGGGUGACACCUGCCCGGUGCUGGAAGGUUAAGAGGAUCUGUUAAGAGCGAUCUGAAGCAGUGAUCCGAAGCCCCAGUGAACGGCGGCCGUAACUAUAACGGUCCUAAGGUAGCGAAAUUCCUUGUCAGGUAAGUUCUGACCCGCACGAAAGGUGUAACGAUUUGGGCGCUGUCUCGGCAGCAGACUCGGUGAAAUCUUAGUACCUGUGAAAAUGCAGGUUACCCGCAACUAGACGGAAAGACCCCAUGGAGCUUUACUGCAGCCUGAUAUUGAAUUCUGGUCAUACAUGUACAGGAUAGGUGGGAGACAAAGAGACGUGCACGCCAGUGUACGAGGAGUCGACGUUGGGAUACCACUCUUGUGUGACCGGGGUUCUAACCUGGUAUCGAGAACAGGUACGGGGAGAGUGUCAGGUGGGCAGUUUGACUGGGGCGGUCGCCUCCCAAAGAGUAACGGAGGCGCCCAAAGGUUCCCUCAGCGCGGCCGGAAAUCGCGCGAAGAGUGUAAAGGCAGAAGGGAGCUUGACUGAGAGCCAAACACGGCGAUCAGGUACGAAAGUAGGGCUUAGUGAUCCGGUGGCAUCCAAGUGGAAGGGCCAUCGCUCAACGGAUAAAAGCUACCCUGGGGAUAACAGGCUAAUCUCUCCCAAGAGUCCAUAUCGACGGGGAGGUUUGGCACCUCGAUGUCGGCUCAUCACAUCCUGGGGCUGAAGUCGGUCCCAAGGGUUGGGCUGUUCGCCCAUUAAAGUGGUACGUGAGCUGGGUUCAGAACGUCGUGAGACAGUUCGGUCCCUAUCCAUCGCGGGCGCAAGAGAUUUGAAGGGGGCUGCUCCUAGUACGAGAGGACCGGAGUGGACGAACCAAUGGUGUACCAAUUAUCUCGCCAGAGGUAUAGUUGGGUAGCUACGUUCGGAAAGGAUAAACGCUGAAAGCAUCUAAGCGUGAAACCAGCCUUAAGAUGAGAUCUCUCAUAGAGUAAUCUAGUAAGACACCUUGG